GAUGAACGCUGACAGAAUGCUUAACACAUGCAAGUCAACUUGAACUUCGGUUUGGGUGGCGGACGGGUGAGUAACGCGUAAAGAACUUGCCUCACAGCUAGGGACAACAUUUGGAAACGAAUGCUAAUACCUGAUAUUAUGAUUUUAGGGCAUCCUAGAAUUAUGAAAGCUAUAUGCGCUGUGAGAGAGCUUUGCGUCCCAUUAGCUAGUUGGAGAGGUAACGGCUCACCAAGGCGAUGAUGGGUAGCCGGCCUGAGAGGGUGAACGGCCACAAGGGGACUGAGACAGGGCCCUUACUCCUACGGGAGGCAGCAGUGGGGAAUAUUGGACAAUGGACCAAGAGUCUGAUCCAGCAAUUCUGUGUGCACGAUGAAGUUUUUCGGAAUGUAAAGUGCUUUCAGUUGGGAAGAAAAAAAUGACGGUACCAACAGAAGAAGUGACGGCUAAAUACGU
Molecule: ribosomal RNA, 453 nt
Filed under: uncultured bacterium
Lineage: Bacteria
Description: partial 16S ribosomal RNA
Rfam family: Bacterial small subunit ribosomal RNA
Source: RNAcentral